GGCUCACCAAGGCAACGAUACAUAGGGGGACUGAGAGGUUAACCCCCCACAUUGGUACUGAGACACGGACCAAACUCCUACGGGAGGCAGCAGUGAGGAAUAUUGGUCAAUGGACGCAAGUCUGAACCAGCCAUGCCGCGUGCAGGAAGACGGCUCUAUGAGUUGUAAACUGCUUUUGUACUAGGGUAAACGCUUCUACGUGUAGGAGCCUGAAAGUAUAGUACGAAUAAGGAUCGGCUAACUCCGUGCCAGCAGCCGCGGUAAUACGGAGGAUCCAAGCGUUAUCCGGAUUUAUUGGGUUUAAAGGGUGCGUAGGCGGUUUGAUAAGUUAGAGGUGAAAUACCGGGGCUCAACUCCGGAACUGCCUCUAAUACUGUUGAACUAGAGAGUAGUUGCGGUAGGCGGAAUGUAUGGUGUAGCGGUGAAAUGCUUAGAGAUCAUACAGAACACCGAUUGCGAAGGCAGCUUACCAAACUAUAUCUGACGUUGAGGCACGAAAGCGUGGGGAGCAAACAGGAUUAGAUACCCUGGUAGUCCACGC
RNAcentral lists this ribosomal RNA (541 nucleotides) under uncultured bacterium. Its description in RNAcentral is "bacterial SSU rRNA". It matches the Rfam family "Bacterial small subunit ribosomal RNA", at positions 262 to 800 of the family's 1533-position model. The record is from RNAcentral.